This 468-nucleotide ribosomal RNA is filed under the name uncultured bacterium. Its description in RNAcentral is "partial 16S ribosomal RNA". It matches the Rfam family "Bacterial small subunit ribosomal RNA", at positions 28 to 507 of the family's 1533-position model. The record is from RNAcentral.
GACGAACGCUGGCGGCGUGCUUAACACAUGCAAGUCGAACGGAAAGGCCCUGCUUUUGUGGGGUGCUCGAGUGGCGAACGGGUGAGUAACACGUGAGUAACCUGCCCUUGACUUUGGGAUAACUUCAGGAAACUGGGGCUAAUACCGGAUAGGAGCUCCUGCUGCAUGGUGGGGGUUGGAAAGUUUCGGCGGUUGGGGAUGGACUCGCGGCUUAUCAGCUUGUUGGUGGGGUAGUGGCUUACCAAGGCUUUGACGGGUAGCCGGCCUGAGAGGGUGACCGGCCACAUUGGGACUGAGAUACGGCCCAGACUCCUACGGGAGGCAGCAGUGGGGAAUAUUGCACAGUGGGCGGGAGCCUGAUGCAGCGACGCCGCGUGCGGGAUAACGGCCUUCGGGUUGUAAACCGCUUUCGCCUGUGACGAAGCGUGAGUGACGGUAAUGGGUAAAGAAGCACCGGCUAACUACGUG